Molecule: long non-coding RNA, 1225 nt
Filed under: Felis catus (domestic cat)
Lineage: Eukaryota; Metazoa; Chordata; Mammalia; Carnivora; Felidae
Description: lncRNA (ENSFCAG00000047377.1)
Source: RNAcentral
UGUCGUAUCCCUUGACAUAAAAUUCUCUUAGGGAAGCCUUUUAAAAACUUCUUUCUGUUGUUUCUGUAUCCUCUUCUAUAUACCUGUGGUUCCACUUGUAUAUCUGCAUGUCUCUGAAUUCUGAUUAUUUAUUGAUAUAUCUGUUCCCCUCAUCUUCUCUCUACUAGAUUUCAGUUUCUUAAGCACAGAUCUCACGCCUAUUAAAAUUCUGUGUCCCCAGUAUCUUAUCACUGUAUCCAGCCUAAGAGGGUGAGUGUGGUGGCAAUGGACAGAAAGAACGAAAGAAGGAAGGAAAGGAGGAAGGAAGGAAGGAAGGAAGGAAGGAAGGAAGGGAGGAAGGAAGGAGGAAGGAAGGAAGGGAAGAAGGAAGGAAGGAAGGGAGGAAGGAAAGAAGGAAGAAGGAAGGAAGAGAGGAAGGAAGGAAAGAAGGAAAGAAGGGAGGAAGGGAGGGAGGAAGGAAGGGAGGAAGGGAGGGAGGAAGGAAGGAAGGAAAGGAGGAAGGAAGGAAGGAAGGAAGAAGGAAGGAAGGAAGGAAGGAAGGAAAGGAGGAAGGAAGGAAAGGAGGAAGGAAGGAAGGAAGGAAAGGAGGAAGGAAGGAAGGAAGGAAAGGAGGAAGGAAGGAAGGAAGGAAGGAAAGGAGGAAGGAAGGAAAGGAGGAAGGAAGGAAAGGAGGAAGGAAGGAAGGAAGAAGGAAGGAAGGAAAGGAGGAAGGAAGGAAGGAAGAAGGAAGGAAGGAAGGAAGGAAAGGAGGAAGGAAGGAAGGAGGAAGGAAGGAAAGGAGGAAGGAAGGAAAGGAGGAAGGAAGGAAGGGAGGGAGGAAGGAAGGGAGGAAGGGAGGGAGGAAGGAAGGAAGGAAAGGAGGAAGGAAGGAAGGAAAGGAGGAAGGAAGGAAGGAAAGGAGGAAGGAAGGAAGGAGGAAGGAAGGAAGGGAGGAAGGGAGGGACGGGGGAGACGAGUGCCAUGGUGUCACAUAUAACCAGGGCCAUUUUCAGUCUUCUGUUGCUCUCGGCACGCUCUGAUUUUGAUGGUCCCACCUUAUAUCAUGUCAAAAAUGUUAAAAGCACUCACAUUAUAGCGCCAUUUACUUUUUGCUAUAAAGGAACUUCAAAGGAUCUUUGUGAUUCUGCUUUUGAAAUGAUAUGGCUCCAAGUAACUCAUUUAUUUUGUAAUUAGUCAUGGUUUUUCAGGUUUCACAGCUAAUUGUGCAUGGCGAAGCAAGAAAAUC